RNAcentral lists this ribosomal RNA (449 nucleotides) under uncultured bacterium. Its description in RNAcentral is "partial 16S ribosomal RNA". It matches the Rfam family "Bacterial small subunit ribosomal RNA", at positions 329 to 794 of the family's 1533-position model. The record is from RNAcentral.
AUCCAGACUCCUACGGGAGGCAGCAGUGGGGAAUAUUGCACAAUGGGGGAAACCCUGAUGCAGCAACGCCGCGUGAGUGAGGAAGUAUUUCGGUAUGUAAAGCUCUAUCAGCAGGGAAUAGAAAAGAAGGUACCUGAAAAAGAAGCCCCGGCUAACUACGUGCCAGCAGCCGCGGUAAUACGUAGGGGGCAAGCGUUAUCCGGAUUUACUGGGUGUAAAGGGAGCGUAGACGGAAAGGCAAGUCAGAAGUGAAAGCCCAAGGCUCAACCAUGGGACUGCAUUUGGAACUGUGUAGCUGGAGUGUCGGAGAGGCAGGCGGAAUUCCUAGUGUAGCGGUGAAAUGCGUAGAUAUUAGGAGGAACACCAGUGGCGAAGGCGGCCUGCUGGACGAUGACUGACGUUGAGGCUCGAAAGCGUGGGGAGCAAACAGGAUUAGAUACCCGGGUAUU